Molecule: long non-coding RNA, 2020 nt
Filed under: Ursus maritimus (polar bear)
Lineage: Eukaryota; Metazoa; Chordata; Mammalia; Carnivora; Ursidae
Description: lncRNA (ENSUMAG00000006432.1)
Source: RNAcentral
CAAAAGUUUUGCUGUAAAUACUCUCUCAUUAAUCUCUCAUUAUUUUUUCCCUUUUUUAGGCCAACAAUACCAAAGACCAACAGUAAAGGACAGUACUAAUCUCUGUAGCAGGGAAGUGUGACUAACACCACAAAUUUGUAAUUUAGCAGACUCACCUGAGAAAAACUGAGUAUAAAUGACCACAACUCUUAUAACGAUUAAUUUUACCUGGGCAUUUCAAGGCCAAGUCAGCAAGAGAGAUUUAGAUCAGAGACACGGAUUUUGUUACUCAUAACUCAGCAAGCAGCAUAAACAUCAGCAUAUUUGGAGUCCUAAACCUCCCUUCUUACUGAGCGACACUAAGGGAGCCAGGUACCCCCACAGGUUCAGUUAAGUUGUAUUACAGGAGAGAAACCCUGCACUUGGAGAAUCUGAAAGUUUCAUACUGGGAAACCAGCUUGCUGACCCGUUACUUGGGAUGGGGAUAAUACCUCUGUCUUCCGUGAGUGUUCACUACACAAAUAUAGUCUGGGACAAAAGUCAGCGCUUCUGCUUGCAAGAUAUACAGAAAAUGAGAGACCUACAGAAAACUGUCUCUCAACAACAUUAGCAGCUGGUUUCAUGGAAAAAAGCCAAAGAGUAAAACACAAACCUACCACCUUCCUGCUUUUUGAGACUACAUCUCUCCUGGAAGAAACACGGCCACAACUAAUCAAUUCUCGAAUUGCCAUGACUUUCAGAUUGCUAACCAUAUUUUCUGGGGCAGUGUGGGCUUUUCUUUUGUGCUGCUGGGGGACGGACCCUCUGGGCAUGUACGCCCGUGCUCUUCAGGGAUGGUUACUGGAGUUACCGAGAACCAGUGGUUUCACUGGAGUGCUAUCAGCUACACCGGAAGGAACAACAGAGAAUGAAAAAGAAGGUAAAAGGAAGCUGAGUGAAGGAGUUUGGUUGAGUCCUGUUUCUUGGAUAAGCAAAGAUUUGGCAUCCUUUUGCCUGGCUGUGAGCAGAAAGUCCUUGAUUUUAUCCAUUUUUUGAGGCAUGGCUCUGAGAGGCGCAGGAGAACGUGCGGCUGGCACUGCGAGCUGUAGUAACUAGAGCCUACCUCCCAGUGAUCAAGAUCCUAAGCGGACCUCCCACGGACACACCGACACCAUGACCACAUGUAGCACAGUCUCCGAGAACGACCUGAAGCCUGGCAGAACAGGUGUUCCGCAACUAAAGGUAAAAAGAAAAAGCCACAUUGAGACAGGUGGGAGAGGCCGAGAUGUGGUCUAGUCAGUGAGCAUACCCCCUGCAUGGUGACCCACAGCAGGAGGGAUAUCACGAGUGUGGAAGUCCUCCCUGAGAAGGGAGGGGUUCAGAUGCCUCAUUGGGUACCCUAGCCAUGGGGCUCCCCCUAGGAAGAUGAGUCCUUGUAAUACCCAGCCUUGAAAACCAGUGGGGCAAAGUCCAGGAGAGCUGGAGGACUGUGGGAAACCAAGACUUCACUCUUAAAGGGUUCAUACACAAACUCCCUCACUCUGAGACCCACGCCAGAGGUGGUGAUUUGAAAAGCACUUGGGUCAUAUGUGAAAAAGAUUCAUUGACUAAUUUUAGGGCAUGUGCUGGAGGGGCAGAGAUCUGUAGGAACUUUCCUUGGGAACAGUAUACUGUCAGGCACCACCAUUUUUACUCUCCUUCUACCUUGCUGGCCUGGUGCUGGCAGGUGCCAUUUUUGACUCUCUCCAUCUACCUUGCCGUCACUGCUCACCCUACCCCCAUGUUCCACUGUGGACCCACUGGGGCAGACAGUCUACCCCCCCAACCAAAGUGGCUUCCACCCCUACCAUUUAUAAGUGGAAUCUAAAAAGCAAAGAAACAAAAUGAAGAAAACAAAACAGAAACAGACUCAUAGAUACAAAGAACAAACUGGUGGUUGUCAGAGGGGAGAAGAUGGUUGUCAGAGGGGAGAAGAUGGUUGCCAGAGAGGUAAUGAGUGAAUGAGAUUGAGAUGUACAAACCUCCAGUUCUGAAAUAAAUAAGUCGUGGGAAUGUAAGUACA